This 429-nucleotide ribosomal RNA is filed under the name uncultured archaeon. RNAcentral describes it as "bacterial SSU rRNA". It matches the Rfam family "Archaeal small subunit ribosomal RNA", at positions 474 to 903 of the family's 1478-position model. The record is from RNAcentral.
UACCUGCAGCUCGAGUGGUAACCGCUAUUAUUGGGCCUAAAGCGUCCGUAGCCGGUUUGGUAAACAUCUGGGUAAAUCGUGAGGCUUAACUUCACGAAUUUCGGAUAGACUGCCAGACUUGGGAUCGGGGGAGGUCAGAGGUACUCCAGGGGUAGCGGUGAAACGUUGUAAUCCUUGGAGGACCACCGGUAGCGAAGGCGUCUGACUAGAACGAGUCCGACGGUGAGGGACGAAGCCCUGGGGCGCAAACCGGAUUAGAUACCCGGGUAGUCCAGGGUGUAAACAAUGUGGGCUUUGUAUUGGAGGUCCCACGUGGGCGUCCAGUGCAGAAGAGAAGUUGUUAAGCCCACCGCCUGGGAAGUACGGUCGCAAGGCUGAAACUUAAAGGAAUUGGCGGGGGAGCACAGCAACGGGAGGAGCGUGCGGUUU